Non-coding RNA from Hordeum vulgare subsp. vulgare (domesticated barley), 125 nucleotides. The record is from Rfam. NCBI's taxonomy places the organism in Eukaryota, Viridiplantae, Streptophyta, Magnoliopsida, Poales, Poaceae.
CUUCCACUGCAUCCGUCCGAAAGUAUUUGUGGUAGUAAUGGAUGUAUCUAAAUGUAUUUUAGUUCAAGAUACAUCCAUUUGCAUCCAUUUUUAUGACAAGUAAUUCCGGACGGAGGGAGUACAAA